This 253-nucleotide ribosomal RNA is filed under the name uncultured bacterium. Its description in RNAcentral is "partial 16S ribosomal RNA". It matches the Rfam family "Bacterial small subunit ribosomal RNA", at positions 524 to 776 of the family's 1533-position model. The record is from RNAcentral.
UACAGAGGGUGCGAGCGUUAAUCGGAAUUACUGGGCGUAAAGCGCGCGUAGGCGGCUUUUCAAGUCGAUUGUGAAAUCCCCGGGCUUAACCUGGGAACUGCAGUCGAGACUGUCUAGCUAGAGUAUGGGAGAGGGAAGUGGAAUUUCAGGUGUAGCGGUGAAAUGCGUAGAUAUCUGAAGGAACAUCAGUGGCGAAAGCGACUUCCUGGACCAAAACUGACGCUCAUGUGCGAAAGCGUGGGGAGCAAACAGG